Molecule: long non-coding RNA, 318 nt
Filed under: Mytilus galloprovincialis (Mediterranean mussel)
Lineage: Eukaryota; Metazoa; Mollusca; Bivalvia; Mytilida; Mytilidae
Source: RNAcentral
UCAUUUCAGUGUGUGUUACAUUUUAACGUUGUGUCGUUUGUUUUCUCUUAUUUUUGAGUGUGGGUUCACAUUACCGUAAGAUGUGUCACGGUACUUGUCUAUCCCAAAUUCAUGCGCUUGGUUUGGAUGUUAUGUUUGUUGUUCUCGUUGGAUUUUGUCUGGUGCUUGGUCCGUUUCUGUGUGAGUUGCAUUUUGAUAUUGUGUCGUUGUUCUUCUCUUGUAUUUAAUGCGUUUCCCUCGGUUUCGGUUUGUUACCCCGAUUUUGUUCUAGUCCAUGGAUUUAUGAGUUUUGAACUGCGGUAUACAACUGUCAUUAUU